UACGUAGGGUGCAAGCGUUGUCCGGAAUUAUUGGGCGUAAAGAGCUCGUAGGCGGCUUAGCAAGUCGGGUGUGAAAACUCCAGGCUCAACCUGGAGACGCCACUCGAGACUGCUAUGGCUAGAGUCCGGUAGGGGACCACGGAAUUCCUGGUGUAGCGGUGAAAUGCGUAGAUAUCUGGAGGAACACCGGUGGCGAAGGCGGCAUCCUGGACCAACACUGAGAGACGAAAGCUAGGGGAGCAAAUGGG
This 248-nucleotide ribosomal RNA is filed under the name uncultured bacterium. RNAcentral's name for it is "partial 16S ribosomal RNA". It matches the Rfam family "Bacterial small subunit ribosomal RNA", at positions 524 to 776 of the family's 1533-position model. The record is from RNAcentral.